CGUAGGCAGCGAGCGUUGUUCGGAGUUACUGGGCGUAAAGGGUGUGUAGGCGGUUGUUUAAGUUUGGUGUGAAAUCUCCCGGCUCAACUGGGAGGGUGCGCCGAAUACUGAAUAACUAGAGUGCGGGAGAGGUGAGUGGAAUUCCUGGUGUAGCGGUGAAAUGCGUAGAUAUCAGGAGGAACACCGGUGGUGUAGACGGCUCACUGGACCGUAACUGACGCUGAGACACGAAAGCGUGGGUAGCAAACAGGAUUAGAUACCCUGGUAGUCCACGCCCUAAACGAUGCAUAUUUGGUGUGGGCAGUUCAUUCUGUCCGUGCCGGAGCUAACGCGUUAAAUAUGCCGCCUGGGGAGUACAGUCGCAAGGCUG
This 370-nucleotide ribosomal RNA is filed under the name uncultured organism. RNAcentral's name for it is "bacterial SSU rRNA". It matches the Rfam family "Bacterial small subunit ribosomal RNA", at positions 526 to 896 of the family's 1533-position model. The record is from RNAcentral.